UGUGGAUGAAGAUUUGGAACGACCUGCGCGAUGGCGAGCAGAGCUGGCGAGUAAACACAAGUGGACUACUGGACAAGUGGAAAAAACUUGGACCCGAAGACCUGAUUGUCAAAGACUGGAACGCGCUCCCGGUCGCGUACUUGACCACGUUUGGCUGUGCGUAUGUGAGCAGUCUUUCUCACAUCUGAAAAACAUAAAGACGAAGCUACCAUUAACGGACGGAAGCCUCAACGCCUGCAUGAAGCGUAACCUCACCACGUAUCAACCGGACUACAAGGCCGUCAGCAAAACCAUGCAGCCCCAGAAGUCGCAUUAAUGAGACCUCUGUAGACCGAGCCGGAGAACAGAGGGAAGAGGAGGAUUAACGUUAAAAUAAUAAGGUGACAAAAAAUGGGAGGACAACUAAACAUGCAGCCACUUUGAACUUGGUGUUGCCGCGAGGAUAGUUGUUGAGGGAGAAGGUCAGGAUGAAUGCCUCCGCAUUGGUGAAGUCGUCAUCUGAGAAGAACAAGACAAGAAAGGUGCAGUUGAGUCGCCUGUUUGUGUUUGUCGCUCUGGAAUUUAAUGUGCUGAAGACAGUGCUGAAAGUCACUCACUCUCAUAGCCUCCCACAGCCAAAAAGGGGAAGACUGGAGCUCCAUAAUCAGCCAUGCAGCUCAUUCCUAAAUCAGUGAUGUCCUUGAAGGACAGGGGAGAGCUUGAGAUACAAGAGGAGAAGGGAAGGUUAGGUUAAUGUACCUGAGCAACUAUGGAGGAAGCAGCGCUGAUUUGAAAUUCAUUUGGUCAAUCCUUACUUGAAGCAGUAGAUUAAAUGGUCCCUCCAGUCCACCUCUUUGGUCACUCCCAGCUCUGUCAUGUUCACCUUAUC
Scatophagus argus is the source of this 868-nucleotide long non-coding RNA. RefSeq lists it as uncharacterized. Lineage: Eukaryota; Metazoa; Chordata; Actinopteri; Scatophagidae. The transcript is spliced from 3 exons. The record is from RefSeq and is a predicted model, not a curated record.